AACCACCUUUUGACAGAGCUUGUCUACAAGGACCUAAAAGUAGCUCUGGAGGAAGUUAAAACGUUUUGCCAGAUUUUGCUGAGGUGUACAGCUUCAUUGGCAGUGUCUUUGAUCCUGGUACAAGUACUAUCACGCACCUGAAUUA
Long non-coding RNA from Gossypium arboreum, 145 nucleotides. RefSeq lists it as uncharacterized. Lineage: Eukaryota; Viridiplantae; Streptophyta; Magnoliopsida; Malvales; Malvaceae. The record is from RefSeq and is a predicted model, not a curated record. The transcript has 4 exons.